RNAcentral lists this transfer RNA (77 nucleotides) under Arcobacter sp. RNAcentral describes it as "tRNA-Arg". It matches the Rfam family "tRNA". Rfam says of the family: Transfer RNA (tRNA) molecules are approximately 80 nucleotides in length. Their secondary structure includes four short double-helical elements and three loops (D, anti-codon, and T loops). Lineage: Bacteria; Pseudomonadati; Campylobacterota; Epsilonproteobacteria; Campylobacterales; Arcobacteraceae. The record is from RNAcentral.
GCUUCCUUAGCUCAGCUGGAUAGAGCAACGCCCUUCUAAGGCGUAGGUCAAUGGUUCGAAUCCAUUAGGGAGUACCA